RNAcentral lists this ribosomal RNA (253 nucleotides) under uncultured bacterium. RNAcentral's name for it is "partial 16S ribosomal RNA". It matches the Rfam family "Bacterial small subunit ribosomal RNA", at positions 524 to 776 of the family's 1533-position model. The record is from RNAcentral.
UACGAAGGGGGCUAGCGUUGCUCGGAAUCACUGGGCGUAAAGGGCGCGUAGGCGGUCUUGCAAGUCCUGUGUGAAAUCCCUCGGCUCAACUGAGGAACUGCACAGGAAACUGCUUGGCUUGAGUUCGGGAGAGGGAAGCGGAAUUCCGGGUGUAGCGGUGAAAUGCGUAGAUAUCCGGAGGAACACCGGUGGCGAAGGCGGCUUCCUGGACCGACACUGACGCUGAGGCGCGAAAGCUAGGGGAGCAAACGGG